GUGGGGAAUAUUGGACAAUGGGCGAAAGCCUGAUCCAGCCAUGCCGCGUGUGUGAAGAAGGUCUUCGGAUUGUAAAGCACUUUAAGUUGGGAGGAAGGGUAGUAACCUAAUACGUUGCUACUUUGACGUUACCGACAGAAUAAGCACCGGCUAACUUCGUGCCAGCAGCCGCGGUAAUACGAAGGGUGCAAGCGUUAAUCGGAAUUACUGGGCGUAAAGCGCGCGUAGGUGGUUUUGUAAGUUGGAGGUGAAAUCCCCGGGCUCAACCUGGGAACUGCCUCCAAAACUGCAUGACUAGAGUACGGUAGAGGGUAGUGGAAUUUCCUGUGUAGCGGUGAAAUACGUAGAUAUAGGAAGGAACACCAGUGGCGAAGGCGACUACCUGGACUGAUACUGACACUGAGGUGCGAAAGCGUGGGGAGCAAACAGGAUUAGAAACCCCGGUAGUCC
RNAcentral lists this ribosomal RNA (450 nucleotides) under uncultured bacterium. RNAcentral describes it as "partial 16S ribosomal RNA". It matches the Rfam family "Bacterial small subunit ribosomal RNA", at positions 354 to 796 of the family's 1533-position model. The record is from RNAcentral.